Drosophila subpulchrella is the source of this 204-nucleotide long non-coding RNA. RefSeq lists it as uncharacterized. NCBI's taxonomy places the organism in Eukaryota, Metazoa, Arthropoda, Insecta, Diptera, Drosophilidae. The transcript is spliced from 3 exons. The record is from RefSeq and is a predicted model, not a curated record.
CGCACUCGUUCAAUUGUUGAAAGUCAUGGAGUGUGGGAGGUUAUACUGCGAAUAAAAUAUAUACUAUGCCAUACAGUCCUACAUUCAAGCGUUGCCCUUGUUUGUUGUGGAUCGGUCAGGCGGACUGCCGCGGAUCCUAACCUACAGUCAGGCGUACUGUGUUGAGGUAGGACUGACUUGGCGACUCGCGCUUAUGGCUUUGGC